UGACUGCUAUAUACGAGGUCUUGGGUUCGAUUCCCGGGUCGGGACGAAAUCGCUUUGUGGGUUUUAGAAACUUUCACAAAGCAGCCUUUAGUCUGGGGAUUGAGGAUUAGUUCACUCGUGCAUCGGAGAGCACGUAAAUGUCGCUUCUGACGUUAACGUAAUGUCAGUGGCGGCAAGAAGAUCUUUUAAUUUGCAGGUGUUGGGGCACAUUAGGCAGCAUUGUUUGUGGUUGUGGUGCGGCAAUCUGCUGUCGUCAGCAUAGCCUUACCUAGAUAGAUUAACCUUGCAUCUGCCGACUGGUGUACGUAGUCUGUUAGGGACUUCCAUACAGGACACGCUAAUUCAUGACUGAUGGGAGUCGUUCUACGGGUGGUAUGAAAUCAGUUGGUGUUACACGUCAGUGCCCUAUCCAGGUUUACGCCCAGGGACCUUGGGCAGUUCAUGUGCGCGAUACGUACGGCUCUCCAAGCGACAUCUAUCUCGUGGUUAGCCAUGCGGUUGCGUAGAUGGUAGGCACAAGACGUGAGUUUUGGCAGGAUUGGGUGUUAGGGUGUUUUCCUUGUAGCAGCAGUCUCGUUCCUUCAGAGCCGCAGAGAGCCCGGUCUCAAUCUCUUCAAACGGCCAGCAUAGAUAUAGCUGGUGGUAUUAGGUGGUUUCGGCUGAUCGUUUGGUUCUAUUUGGUCUCAAACCAGAUAGCGCUUGAUGGAGGCGUUAUGUAUGUUGAUUUGCGUGCUUGAUGGAGGCACUGUGUAGAAUCACGAUAUGUGUUGAGAUGUUGAUGUGUGAUUAAUGAUGGUAG
This is a long non-coding RNA of Helicoverpa zea (corn earworm), 799 nucleotides long. RefSeq lists it as uncharacterized. Lineage: Eukaryota; Metazoa; Arthropoda; Insecta; Lepidoptera; Noctuidae. The transcript is spliced from 2 exons. The record is from RefSeq and is a predicted model, not a curated record.